This 181-nucleotide ribosomal RNA is filed under the name uncultured Pseudomonadota bacterium. RNAcentral describes it as "uncultured proteobacterium partial 16S ribosomal RNA". It matches the Rfam family "Bacterial small subunit ribosomal RNA", at positions 29 to 233 of the family's 1533-position model. Lineage: Bacteria; Pseudomonadati; Pseudomonadota. The record is from RNAcentral.
AGCGAACGCUGGCGGCAGGCCUAACACAUGCAAGUCGAGCGGCCGUAGCAAUACGGCAGCGGCAGACGGGAGAGUAACACGUGGGAACGUACCUUUCAGUUCGGAACAACCAAGGGGAAACUUUGGCUAAUACCGGGAUACGCCCGUAAGGGGAAAGAUUUAUCGCUGAAAGAUCGGCCCG